Molecule: ribosomal RNA, 253 nt
Filed under: uncultured bacterium
Lineage: Bacteria
Description: partial 16S ribosomal RNA
Rfam family: Bacterial small subunit ribosomal RNA
Source: RNAcentral
UACGUAGGGGGCUAGCGUUGUCCGGAUUUAUUGGGCGUAAAGAGCGUGUAGGCGGCCAGGUAGGUCUGGUGUGAAAACUCGAGGCUUAACCUCGAGAUGUCAUCGGAAACCAUCUGGCUAGAGUCCGGAAGAGGAGAGUGGAAUUCCUGGUGUAGCGGUGAAAUGCGCAGAUAUCAAGUGGAACACCAGUGGCGAAGGCGAGUCUCUGGACAUUUCCUGACGCUGAGGCACGAAAGCCAGGGGAGCAAACGGG